This 845-nucleotide ribosomal RNA is filed under the name uncultured Streptococcus sp. Its description in RNAcentral is "bacterial SSU rRNA". It matches the Rfam family "Bacterial small subunit ribosomal RNA", at positions 57 to 885 of the family's 1533-position model. The record is from RNAcentral. Lineage: Bacteria; Bacillati; Bacillota; Bacilli; Lactobacillales; Streptococcaceae.
GCAAGUAGAACGCUGAAGAGAGGAGCUUGCUCUUCUUGGAUGAGUUGCGAACGGGUGAGUAACGCGUAGGUAACCUGCCUUGUAGCGGGGGAUAACUAUUGGAAACGAUAGCUAAUACCGCAUAACAAUGGGUGACACAUGUCAUUUAUUUGAAAGGGGCAAUUGCUCCACUACAAGAUGGACCUGCGUUGUAUUAGCUAGUAGGUGAGGUAACGGCUCACCUAGGCGACGAUACAUAGCCGACCUGAGAGGGUGAUCGGCCACACUGGGACCGAGACACGGCCCAGACUCCUACGGGAGGCAGCAGUAGGGAAUCUUCGGCAAUGGGGGCAACCCUGACCGAGCAACGUCGCGUGAGUGAAGAAGGUUUUCGGAUCGUAAAGCUCUGUUGUAAGUCAAGAACGAGUGUGAGAGUGGAAAGUUCACACUGUGACGGUAGCUUACCAGAAAGGGACGGCUAACUACGUGCCAGCAGCCGCGGUAAUACGUAGGUCCCGAGCGUUGUCCGGAUUUAUUGGGCGUAAAGCGAGCGCAGGCGGUUUGAUAAGUCUGAAGUUAAAGGCUGUGGCUCAACCAUAGUUCGCUUUGGAAACUGUCAAACUUGAGUGCAGAAGGGGAGAGUGGAAUUCCAUGUGUAGCGGUGAAAUGCGUAGAUAUAUGGAGGAACACCGGUGGCGAAAGCGGCUCUCUGGUCUGUAACUGACGCUGAGGCUCGAAAGCGUGGGGAGCGAACAGGAUUAGAUACCCUGGUAGUCCACGCCGUAAACGAUGAGUGCUAGGUGUUGGAUCCUUUCCGGGAUUCAGUGCCGCAGCUAACGCAUUAAGCACUCCGCCUGGGAGUACGA